This 433-nucleotide ribosomal RNA is filed under the name uncultured bacterium. Its description in RNAcentral is "partial 16S ribosomal RNA". It matches the Rfam family "Bacterial small subunit ribosomal RNA", at positions 29 to 507 of the family's 1533-position model. The record is from RNAcentral.
AACGAACGCUGGCGGCAUGCCUAACACAUGCAAGUCGAACGAGACCUUCGGGUCUAGUGGCGCACGGGUGCGUAACGCGUGGGAACCUGCCCUUAGGUUCGGAAUAACUCCCCGAAAGGGGUGCUAAUACCGGAUAAUGUCUUCGGACCAAAGAUUUAUCGCCUUUGGAUGGGCCCGCGUUGGAUUAGCUAGUUGGUAGGGUAAAAGCCUACCAAGGCGACGAUCCAUAGCUGGUCUGAGAGGAUGAUCAGCCACACUGGGACUGAGACACGGCCCAGACUCCUACGGGAGGCAGCAGUGGGGAAUAUUGGACAAUGGGCGAAAGCAUGAUCCAGCAAUGCCGCGUGAGUGAUGAAGGCCUUAGGGUUGUAAAGCUCUUUUACCCGGGAUGAUAAUGACGGUACCGGGAGAAUAAGCGCCGGCUAACUCCGUG